RNAcentral lists this ribosomal RNA (515 nucleotides) under Bacillus sp. M12-C27. RNAcentral's name for it is "bacterial SSU rRNA". It matches the Rfam family "Bacterial small subunit ribosomal RNA", at positions 1 to 489 of the family's 1533-position model. The record is from RNAcentral. Lineage: Bacteria; Bacillati; Bacillota; Bacilli; Caryophanales; Bacillaceae.
UGAGCUUGAUCCUGGCUCAGGACGAACGCUGGCGGCGUGCCUAAUACAUGCAAGUCGAGCGCAGGAAGCCGGCCGAWCCCUUCGGGGUGACGCCGGUGGAAUGAGCGGCGGACGGGUGAGUAACACGUGGGCAACCUACCUUGUAGACUGGGAUAACUCCGGGAAACCGGGGCUAAUACCGGAUGAUCAUUUGGAUCGCAUGAUUCGRAUGUAAAAGUGGGGAUUUAUCCUCACACUGCAAGAUGGGCCCGCGGCGCAUUAGCUAGUUGGUAAGGUAAUGGCUUACCAAGGCGACGAUGCGUAGCCGACCUGAGAGGGUGAUCGGCCACACUGGAACUGAGACACGGUCCAGACUCCUACGGGAGGCAGCAGUAGGGAAUCAUCCGCAAUGGGCGAAAGCCUGACGGUGCAACGCCGCGUGAACGAUGAAGGUUUUCGGAUCGUAAAGUUCUGUUAUGAGGGAAGAACACGUGCCGUUCGAAUAGGGCGGCACCUUGACGGUACCUCACGAGAAG